Molecule: long non-coding RNA, 476 nt
Filed under: Limulus polyphemus (Atlantic horseshoe crab)
Lineage: Eukaryota; Metazoa; Arthropoda; Merostomata; Xiphosura; Limulidae
Description: uncharacterized LOC111088405, transcript variant X2
Source: RNAcentral
GAUUUUAAAUCUCUUAAUCGAAAUAGUUUAUUGUAGCUUAGCUGGUCUUUGGACUUAACUUACCGUGACCUGAAUCAGAGCAGAAGGUAGAGAAGCUGAAGAUCUGAGAACAACACUUUUUCUUUCUAAGAAAAAAGGCUUGGAGAGCGCCUCCCCUUUACAUUAACAACUUAUUUCGACGUGUCCACAUCUCAUCCUUCGAAUUAACGAGUCAUGUGCUCAACCUAGAUGGUCUUGAAACUCGAGCACUCCCUGUAAGAUGAACCAGAGCAGGAAACUAGAUAAGAUCAACCUGAAGACAACUUUGCUGGCCUUUGGACUUAACUUCCCGUAACCUGAAUCUGAGCAGAAGGUAGAGAAGCUGAAGAUCUGAGAACACUACGCCUUUUCUUUGUAAGAUGUAUGUACUUAAACUGGGCAGGAUUCAUGGUGUCAGUAUAAUGAGAUCAUUAAUAGUAAGGAUACUAAAACUAGUA